This 307-nucleotide ribosomal RNA is filed under the name uncultured bacterium. RNAcentral describes it as "bacterial SSU rRNA". It matches the Rfam family "Bacterial small subunit ribosomal RNA", at positions 30 to 333 of the family's 1533-position model. The record is from RNAcentral.
AUUGAACGCUGGCGGCAGGCCUAACACAUGCAAGUCGAGCGGUAACAGGGGAAGCUUGCUUCUCGCUGACGAGCGGCGGACGGGUGAGUAAUGUAUGGGGAUCUGCCCGAUAGAGGGGGAUAACCACUGGAAACGGUGGCUAAUACCGCAUAAUCUCUUAGGAGCAAAGCAGGGGAACUUCGGUCCUUGCGCUAUCGGAUGAACCCAUAUGGGAUUAGCUAGUAGGUGAGGUAAUGGCUCACCUAGGCGACGAUCCCUAGCUGGUCUGAGAGGAUGAUCAGCCACACUGGGACUGAGACACGGCCCA